GUGGGGAAUCUUCCGCAAUGGACGAAAGUCUGACGGAGCGACGCCGCGUGAGUGAAGAAGGCCUUCGGGUCGUAAAGCUCUGUCAUCAGGGACGAACGGCCGGUGGAGUGGAAAGCCACCGGAUUGACGGUACCUGAGAAGGAAGCCACGGCUAACUACGUGCCAGCAGCCGCGGUAAUACGUAGGUGGCAAGCGUUGUCCGGAUUUAUUGGGCGUAAAGCGCGCGCAGGUGGGAUCUUAAGUCCAUUUUUAAAGUUCGGAGCUCAACUCCGUGAUGGGAUGGAAACUGGGAUUCUUGAGUACCGGAGAGGAAAGCGGAAUUCCCCGUGUAGCGGUGAAAUGCGUAGAUAUGGGGAGGAACACCAGUGGCGAAGGCGGCUUUCUGGACGGUGUCUGACACUGAGGCGCGAAAGCCAGGGGAGCGAACGGGAUUAGAAACCCCUGUAGUCC
Molecule: ribosomal RNA, 450 nt
Filed under: uncultured bacterium
Lineage: Bacteria
Description: partial 16S ribosomal RNA
Rfam family: Bacterial small subunit ribosomal RNA
Source: RNAcentral